Sinocyclocheilus anshuiensis is the source of this 308-nucleotide long non-coding RNA. RefSeq lists it as uncharacterized. The record is from RefSeq and is a predicted model, not a curated record. The transcript is spliced from 4 exons. Lineage: Eukaryota; Metazoa; Chordata; Actinopteri; Cypriniformes; Cyprinidae.
CUGCAGUUUGGAGAGCCCUGGUUUAGAACAAGACCCUGGAUAAAAAGGCAGUCACUUCAAGAGCUCGACAAGGCGCCAAUGCUACAAAACUCCCAGAAAGCUUCCCCACAGCACCACGCACGGACCAGCUGCUGACAGCGGGUGCUGAUCCCAGUUUGGUCCGGAUGCAGGGGCUCGACCCACGCUCGGGGCUCUUGGAUCGCGUGUGCGUGGUUCGGCCUUCCAGAAAGUAGUGCUGUCCAUUCUGCUGGCAACGUUGACUGUGUUUCCCCAGAUGUCGUACUGAGGCCUGCGAGCCCCGAUUACAC